GGAGGACGGAUGAGUGAUUUAGUUCUUAAAAGUGGUUAAUUACAGAAUUAUGAUUAGAAUCUGGAGAAUCAGGGGAAAAUAUAUAGGAGUUGUAGAAGUUAAUUAAGGUGCCAUCAUUGUGAUAGUUGUGAGCUGGGGUAAGCUUGGUGCUACCUCUUUUCUUUUGUUUGUUAUUUUCUUUGAAUAAGAGGAUUGAGAGUUUUUAAAUAUUGUGAAGUGAAUUAUGGAAUGGAAAUGUGAUUGGUAUUAUUUGAAAAGAAGAAAGAUUGAAUGCUGAAAUUUGAUUGUAGUUCAGUAGAGAGAAUGAGUCUGUAUUUGUGUGAAACAUCGUAAUGUGAAUGGCAGUUCUGUGUGAAGAAUUCUAGUGAUUGGAAUGAGGGUAAUUGUGUGCUGAAAGUUGUGAGGGCAUAGUAGUACAGUUGGAGAUUAUGAGGGUGAAUAUAUUGGUGGAAAUAGCAGUUAUUGGUAUGACUGAAUUGCUGUAAGGAAGAGACUGAUAAGGUGAAGGAGGAGAUUAUGGUUUCCUUGUGUGUUCAAAUAUUGAAAAUAGAGACGAUACAUUCAGGAGGUAAUUGAUUGUGUGAUCCUAACGUGAACGCUUAAGCAACUAGUCAUUCCCUGUGUUCGAAUCUCCCUAUACAGAUUUACUCCCAUUAGAUUA
RNAcentral lists this long non-coding RNA (661 nucleotides) under Physcomitrium patens. Its description in RNAcentral is "long non-coding RNA (PPAT_LNC010427)". Lineage: Eukaryota; Viridiplantae; Streptophyta; Bryopsida; Funariales; Funariaceae. The record is from RNAcentral.